Molecule: long non-coding RNA, 694 nt
Filed under: Marmota marmota marmota (Alpine marmot)
Lineage: Eukaryota; Metazoa; Chordata; Mammalia; Rodentia; Sciuridae
Description: lncRNA (ENSMMMG00000011691.1)
Source: RNAcentral
AGAUGAUCUCCAAUGUCCAGCCACAGGAGACCCAGGCCAACUCCAGGUCCGGAUUAGGGCUUGAGGCUGAGACCAAGCCUCCAAGGACUGAUCCAGGGCAUGAAGCCCAGACCAAGUUCUUGCAGGCGGAGCCCAGGACCAGAUCAUGACCGGAGGCAGAGGCUGACCAGUUGGACUUCCGGAAUCUGAAACCUAAGUGCUCAGGAGAGUUCCCAGGGCCUCCCGGGUCUGGCCUGGUACUGGGGCCGUGACGAAGGAAGAGUGAGUGUGCAAGUCCUGUAGCGAGAGGCCUGGCGGAGACAGGAUUGGGAUACCCCCUGACGACCUUGGUCUGCAGACCCCGCUGGAGUCGGUGAACUUGAUCGACGCUGGUGGAGGGGCUGCGACGCUGGUGGAGGGGCUGCGCUUGGCGCCCUGGGAGCGCAGCAAGAGCGUGGCCCGGCUUCUGCAGAGCUUCUGCUCACAGCUGGUCAAACGACAGCAGCUGGGGGUCAAGGUGGCCCAGGAGCUGAAGGAAUACCGCUAAUCACCAAGCAGGUAUUCAAAGCCAUUGCCUCUGGCCAUCCCUGCUACCUGCCUGGACCCAGUCGGUCCUCCCAAAGGGCCCAGCUGGGAGCCGGUAGGCGCGAGUGUGGAGUGAAGAUGCAGAGAAGCCUGACUCUCCAGCGACCCCCGCCCGCCCCGCCUCUGCCAC